CCUUUGACGUUAGCGGCGGACGGGUGAGUAACACGUGGGUAACCUACCUAUAAGACUGGGAUAACUUCGGGAAACUGGAGCUAAUACCGGAUAAUAUUUCGAACCGCAUGGUUCGAUAGUGAAAGGUGGUUUUGCUAUCACUUAUAGAUGGACCCGCGCCGUAUUAGCUAGUUGGUAAGGUAACGGCUUACCAAGGCGACAAUACGUAGCCGACCUGAGAGGGUGAUCGGCCACACUGGAACUGAGACGACGGUCCAGACCUCCGUACGGGGAGGCAGCAGCC
RNAcentral lists this ribosomal RNA (283 nucleotides) under uncultured Staphylococcus sp. RNAcentral describes it as "partial 16S ribosomal RNA". It matches the Rfam family "Bacterial small subunit ribosomal RNA", at positions 83 to 355 of the family's 1533-position model. Lineage: Bacteria; Bacillati; Bacillota; Bacilli; Caryophanales; Staphylococcaceae. The record is from RNAcentral.